Molecule: long non-coding RNA, 7400 nt
Organism: Serinus canaria (Common canary)
Lineage: Eukaryota; Metazoa; Chordata; Aves; Passeriformes; Fringillidae
Exons: 5
Source: RefSeq, a predicted model, not a curated record
GGUGCAGAACUCAGGAAGAGGAGCUACACCUCACUUGGAAAAGACAGCAGAGCCCACACAGGAGGCAUAAUUAGGAGAAAGCUCAGUAGAUCCCAGCACAGGAUACAGGCCUGCCUUUUGUACCUCCAUGAACUACGGUGAAUGUUGGGUGUGCAAGGAAUGCGAGAUAAGGCCCCGAAGGCACGACUCAUUACAAACAAAAUAAUUUAAGGAAGAACACCCACAGAGCGGGAGUAGUCCAGCACCUGGCAUGCCUCACAGAAAGUGAAGUCUUUUCAGUAAAACCUGUAGAAAAAAACGAAACAAAAUAAAGGACAGAAAGUAGAAGAUCUUCAUGCUCUCUACAACUACCUGAACGGAGGCUGUAGCAAGGUGAGAUUGAUCUCUUCUCACAAGUAACAAGCUUGCUCAUAUGAGCAGCCUGGAUGCUUUCUGCGGAUUUUUUUAAGAAGCAAAUGUACUCAAAAAUCAAGGAUGAACGAGGAAGGGGUUUUUAAUGUGUUUGUGUGUUACACCACGGCAAGCACAGCAUUCAUCUCCUGCAUUCCAAACUUCACCAGAUUUAAGAUUAUGCACCAGUGGUUUCCAGGGCUGCACAAGGGGAGAACAGGAAUCAGCCAGCCAGUCAGUCCAAUUACAGCACAUGGAGACUACUGCUGUCUUUCAUGAAGGGCAUGAGUGAGGAAUAAAAAAACCCCUCAUUUGUGUGACAAGAGUUUCAGAGAGAAAAGAGAAUGAGACUGUAUCAGCGGGUGCCUCUGAAGGUGGCCCGCACAAGAAGCAGGCCACCACCUAACUCAAGAGGGAAGACAUCUGUUUCAAAGGGUAACUUAGAGCACUGGAGUCCACAGAAGAUGUAUCUGAUUUAGACGGCAAGUCGGACACUUCAGUAUGAAAUACUACAUCUCCAUUGCAAUUCCUUGUGCAAAGCACUUCCUUUCCAUGCAGGAGGUAUGUGUGUGCAUGCCUUUUGACCUGGGUGUGAGGGUGAGAGCACAUUCAGUUUGAAUAGUUAACAGGCACAGCAGCCUUUAUGACUGUUGUUCUGUAUAGUGUCUUUGUUGGGGAAAGCAAACUGGCAGGCAUGGCACUGAAAGGACAUAGAGGAUUUGUCUGGGCUUGGAGAAAUAAUUUUCUGGUUCAGUUUUCUCUUAUCAGGGCCUAAUACCACUUGAUGCAGACAUUGCACUGGAAAGAGCUUCAGAAAGAUGAUGACUGCAACCUGAGUCCUUCAUCCAUAUCAUCCAGACAACGGUAGGCUUGCCUUUCAGCUCCAACACCACAGAACUCAGCUGAAUCCAAAGAUACUGCUCUCAGUGAACAUAGACUCUUGAACAAAGCUGAUCAGUAGGAGUAAUUCCCAUUUCCAAGAUCAUAUGCAUGCUGCAGCUGUUUCUGGGUGGGUCACAUGCUGCUGAUGAUUUGCAUGCAGAAGAUAGUUAAGUACAGCUUGUAGAGACAUGCUCUCCCAACAGCAAUACAGUAGGGUUGUGAUGGACGUUCAGGAAAGGAGAAGCCACAAGAUUUUUCCACCAGUGCAAAUCUCAACUAGACUUUGAAAUGGGAGAUCAAGAAAAGAAUAGUAUAAACAAGAUUUUUAGGAACUGGCAGGUCUUGACAGAUGAUAAUUUUUCUUGUGACUGUGGGCAACUCAUUUUUCCACACUGACUCUUUGUUGUUUAUGAGAUAACAUAUACAGUACAGAACAUAUUUUACUGGGCCUUCAUGGUAGCUUAUGGACCAAAGACAUUCUAAUAAUGUCAUAAUUCAGUGUCAUGGAAAAGCCAAAGCUAACAAUGGUAGAAAUAGUUAUUCAAAUCAAGUAGAAUUUGGCCUCCAGCAAAACAUCUGUAAAUGAUGUGGUAAGAUCUGCAAGCUAAUCACUUUUUACGAAUAAGAACUGUAUACUUAGUUCAGCUAAGGGGACAAAUUUGGAGAAAUCAUUCUUUUAGCUGAGCUGCUGUGAGCUUAUCUCAGGAGAGUUCAGUACAGACCAUGACCAUGUACAUGCUGUGGACAGCCUGCAUAUUAAAGGAGAAACACAAAGUUCCCAUAAUUGGCCUACAGAAUGUUUCACUCUUUCAUCCUCCCUUGUUGCUACAUGUCUUUCUUGCUUUUAUUGAGUCAUUAUGCAAUUUAUAGAACAAAUGCAACUGCAUUUGCAGCACUGUACUUAGUGACGCAAAAAAAAAAAGUAAGUAAACAUUUACUUUUCCUGCCUAGUUCUUCUUUAUCUGCAGGCGCCCCCAGGAGAAGAGAUGAGGAAAUCUAAAAGUCCUCCUGAUAUUAUACCGCUUCUUGCUUCUUAGAAAUGUUUCUCUAAAUGGGAUCAGCCAUCACUUCCUAUUAGUACAACCAGCCUUUUCAGUGAUGACAUUACACAACAGGCAAGACUGUGAUUACUUAUGGUCAUAAGACUAGUCUUGUGAAUAUACUCCUGUGUCCUACUGCAUUCUGAGGGGAGAGUGCUUUGCUUUGCAAAACUGCUGCAAAGAUUUGAAAUCUCAAGUGGCUGCAGAAUGCUAUACAGCCGCUCUCAGCUCCUUGCUAUCCUCUCUGGUAUUGUGCACCAUAUCUUAAUCUCUUCCAUGCCUAUUUUUCAUAGACACUAUCUAACUGGCCUUCUCAUUUUGCCUUCUCAGUAGAGAUUGCCAUGCUGUUGUGAAGACGAAUAAGACUUUUUCAGAGGAAAAAUAUUAGGGCAGUGGGGAUGGGUUGUAAAUUUCAGUGUCAUUCCACUGACGAGGGAGUGAACUAAAAGAAAGACCAUACAUGUUUGGUCUGUAGUACUCCCUCUCAAUGCUUUCCACAGUUCACCCUUUCUAAAAUCCUAGCAAGGUCUUUGUCACUCAAAAAUCCUUAGGUGAUGUAAUGCUUCCAGAUGAGUGUGUCUUUGUGAGGUGUAUAUUGCUCAUAAAUGACUGGAAAAGUAACAGGAGAUCCAGCUAGGCAGAUGAGGCAGUGAUGGACAUUAACCACAGAAAAAUAAAUCAGCAAGCAUUGGAUCUAGGACUGAAAGAAAGAAGUAACUGCCCACUCUCAGGUGCUUACUCUGGCAUGGGCUGCCUCCUUUCCUGAGAGCCCACAAGGAGAUAGAGUAUUUUUUCUAUGCUUACCCUCUUACAUUAACUCCUUGAGAAAGUGGCUGACUUCCAUGCAGCUGUUCAGAAGUUAGAUAUCCAUCUACCCUCCCUCUAUCACGUAUGAAGUGUAUUUCUUGAAGUCACACUGGGGAUGUGGUAAGAAGAGGAGAAGGCACUGCUAGUGAAAGAUCACCUUCGAAAUUUGGGUUGUUCUUACACCAGAUAUUGGGAUAACAGCAGACAGUUGGGGGAGUUCAGGCUGAAGCCUGAAUUAUAUUGAGCACCAUUCAUUUUAAAACUUUGCAUCAGAGCAAAUCAUUAUCUGGGGCAGGAGUUUCUUAAAAUCCUGAUGUGCCUGAGCUGUUUUAGUGGAUUAAUGGUGAGGUAUUAUCAGUGAAGCAGACGCCCUCAGUUUGACUGUUUUUGUCUGGUCUCCUUUUCUUCCAGCUGGAUGGAAUUAUGGAAUGCUACCUAGGCAGAAAUAAUAUGCUUGAUGCCUUUUAUGGAAUAAUGGGUACAGAUUUGCAAGUCCCAAAAAAGUAUUUAUUCUUCCUGUGGCACUCAAAUGCAGUCUCACAUUGUGCUUGCUCUUUGCCUCGAGGAGAAUUUGGUUCUUUGCAGAGGUGUAGCAGAGGGUUUCAGCAAGUCCUUCAACAGUGGAACUGCAAAAGUGACAGGCUCUGGUAAGAAAGGGUCCACCAAGUAGGCCCAUAGCCACUGCAAAGUAGGAGCUUAGUCAAGAAAAUUAAAGAAUUGCCCCAGGAAAAGAAGCCCAAGUGUCUAAAUUCUUCUCUCAUAAUGAAACUGAGCUAUUACAGUUUUAAAUUGCAAGUGUUCUGACUUUGCUGUGGCUUCCUCAUGCUAUGCAUGCCUUAUUGAAAAAAGAAAAAGCGGCCCUCUCCAGAACAGCCCCAUUCUAAUCUCACAAUACAAAUUGGGUAGAGAUCCAAGGAAGUCAGUGACCUAAUGUGGAUGUAAAGUCAGAGUGAGGGAAAUAACAGUCCAGCAGCAGCUAACCUAGCUCUGUGGAUGCCUGGGUACACAAUCACUAGAGCGACCCCAAAAGGAAAUAUGUUUGAAGAGAUCACUUCACAGAAUAUGCAUGAAACCUUUCUCAUAAAAGUUUAAAUUCAGCAUUGUGGUGCAGUCCCUUCAGCAAAACUAAUGCAUUAGCAAAGAAGAGAGCAGCUCAUAAAAGAGGUAGAGUAUUCCCUCCUCCCCCUGGUUCUUGUCCACUUGCAUGGUUGUGAUAACCCUUCACCCCUUCAAUCCUUUCAUGCUUAUUUCUUUUUUAAGGGCACCAAGAAAAAUAAACAGUUAAUUUUAAGUUAAAAACAACAACAAGAAAGUGAAAAAUAAACCCUUGGGAUAUUGCUUAAAACCCAGAGGUCAUAAACCCCAAGACAAUGGCUUUUGGUGCACCUGGAGUAAGAGAAUCUACAUCUCAGUAGCAAAUUUGUGAGUUCUGUGAGGGGCCAAGAUGAGAAUGAUGGUGGUACAGGAGGCAGAGAGCCCUCAGACCAAUUACUGCAGAAUUCAUCCCAUUAUCUGAAUCUGUCUGCAGAAACUCCAGAUGAAAGGUGUCCACCGUGGCUGUGAAUUGGUUCCAUUUCCAGGUGAUCCUGCAAAUCACACGGAGUAUCUCCAGGCUGCUGCUGCCCAGAGUAUCAGGGAGCCCCUCUGUGCUAAUGUGGGUCUGCAGAUGUGUCCCACAGAGUAUUACUGCCUCAGGUCUUCAAAGGAGGAUAAUCAUAUUUAAAAAACAAACCUUGCCUCUAAGUAUCAUAUACUAGCUUGGGCUGAAUAACUCACAGACCUAGCUUUCCUAUUUUCAAUUCUGGAACUAGGUAAGGCUGCAAUAACUUGAAGCUCCGUCCACUGUCUCCCACCUCAUAUUCUUCUGUGUACAAAGAAACAACUCUCGGCUGGUUUGUUUCGUGAAAAGCCUUUUUUGACUAGCAUGAGUGGAAUUGAUACAUACAAAAUUACUUAAGCUGUAAUAACAGAGUAAACAAAGAUGCCUUAAAAAAAAAAAAAGAAGUUUUGUGCUCUCUGGAACGAGUACGCUCUCUUUCCAGGACAAUGUAGGUAAUCCUAAAAAAUAUCCUAGGUAAUUGUGUAAGAGUGGGCACAAGGGUCCCUGAGCUAAUAUUUCAGAAACAGUUAUCCAUCCCUCAGGACUUUGGGGUGGGAUCAGGAUCUUUUGUGCAGCAGGCAAUAUUGUGCAACAGUUCCCACAAGUCCUCAGGGAAGCAGCAUUGAUGUAUGGAACACUUAUGCUGCCAAAUGGGGACAUCUAGUGCCAUUUCAGCCACUGUCUGGCUUGCACCUGCAGGUUUAGAUGGUCCCAGGUCUCCGUAGGGCCCUGUGUCAGAUCUGCCAGCUCCCUACAGACCUCAUGGGUUGCAUGGAUUCCAGAAUGGAUUACACAGCACCACAGAAAUUCAUGUGUUAAGCAACUGAAAUGUGCCAAGGGUGCUGCGGCUAAUGAGGUGACAAGAAACUGGUGAUGCCUACAGCAGAACUGGAAGAAAAUAGAAAUGAGAAAUGCAAGAAUGAGGAAUGAGCUGGGGCUUCAGGUGUGGGGUUAAGAGUUGGGUGUCCUGCAUCCAGUACCCUGUCACAAGCUGUUGAAUAAGAGGAGAGUAAUUAAAUUAUUAAAUAAUAUUUAAAGAAUCUUUCCUCAUCCUCUUUUGCCAUGUGUUUAACAACAGGUGAUACUUGUCGUUUCUUUCCAAGAUAUUUAGAAGAUAUUUAGUUUGGGGCUCCAGCUGUUACUGCAUGUCUGCACAGUAGAACAUGGAUUCUUUUACAGUUCUCACAAACAAGAGAGGGAGCACAGAAAAAACAGUUCCUUCUUCAAGUCUUCCAUCUCUUUGCUUUUCAUCUGACUCUGACUCUUUCUUUUCUAGUUAGAAAGAAAGCAUGCCUGUCCUCCAUUACACUUAUUUCUGCAGUUUGCACUAAAAGCAUUAGGAUAGGUACUUAUCCCUAAUAUCAAAACCACAGAGUCUCACUUUUUAAUUUCUCUCUUGAUUAUCUGAUUCCUUUUUUCAAACUAGAACACCCCUCCCUCCUUCUCUGAUAUGUUUUUCCCCUUUUAAAAGUGUAUCUAUUGCCCUAAGUGCAGCUGAAAUGAGUGAACACGUUAUGUGGCGCUUCAGGGAAUUCCUGAAGGAUUGAUUCAAUUCUUCUGGGAUCUGCAUUCUGAGAACUGAGAGCACAAGUGCUGCAAAACCUGUUUGUGAUUCAAACCCAGACAUUAAUAUAUAUUAAUGUGUGUGUGUGUGUGUGUGUGUGUGUGUAUGCAUGUGUGCAUGUGUGCAUGUGGGUGUGUUGAGGGAAAAAAUAAAAGUUGACUCAAAGAAAGAAAAUCAGAGGCAGAAAAAAGACCUGGUUCCUGAGGGUUUUGGGGUAUGUUUUUUUUAAGUGAAAGCUAAUGGAAUCCAAUAUAACUGCUGAAACCUUGUCAUCCUUGCUAUCAGUGAGAGCCUUUGAAUAAGCUAAAUCCUUAAUCAGUAUAGCCUAAGACCCCAAUGACUAUGUGCAGAAGUGUUAGUCCAGAUAAAUCCUUGAAGGUUUCAAAGAUUUGAAGAGCACUGGCACUUUUCUGUGUAGUGCCUGCCCUUUGUCCUUUUCUCCAUGAUGUCAUUAUUGAAGUUUUACACUCACUAUGCAUGGUGUAAGUUGACAUUGACAGUUUCAACACUUUCACACUGACUCUGGAGGAUUGUUAGCUUUGAAGAUAUUUGGCCUUGAGCAGUGAAUUCUUUUUUUGAGCUCAUACUGGCUUAUAAUAUCUGAGAAGGUUUGCAUCAGUACAGCCCCAGCUUGAAUUAUGAGAGAAGGCUGGUUUCCAACUUGGAACUGAUACCCACAUGAUAGAAAUAGAGAACAUUAUACCAUUUCAGAUGGGCAGCACAGUCAAUGUUCCUGAAUCCCCCUGGGAUGCAACAAUGAGUUUUCAUUUUAACAUCACAGUUAAAGCUACAUCGGCAGCGUGGCUUUUCUUGUAAUCAGAACUCUGAAAAGCAGUUAGGCUUGGAAAUGACUGUAAGAAUAUGCGAUCUUCUGCCCUGUGAUCUGUUUGUUAUUAGGUUUUUGGAAACAUCUGCAUGGGGCCAGAGGCAUAUUUCAUAUCAGUGUAAUUUAAUUCAAGUAUUUUAUGAAAAUAAAAAUAAAAUGCUGUGUGGUGAUUUAGAGACAUUGAAUAUCAAAGCACACAAGCACUGACAAGCAACACAAAGAAAGUGAGCUGUUCAGACACUUACUCAUAUGAGUUGUCCCAUGGAACUUUAUCAAGAUGACACACAUAAG